GCAAACUUGGUCAUUUAGAGGAAGUAAAAGUCGUAACAAGGUUUCCGUAGGUGAACCUGCGGAAGGAUCAUUAUUGAAUGAAGAACAGACUUGACUGUAGCUGGCUCUUCCGGAAGGAAAAGGGCACGUGCACGUCUUGUUUUGUUUCCAACCUUCUUCUUACACCUCUGUGCACUUCUCAUGGGUUGGGCUUGUGUCUGGAAUUUUACGACUGCAGCCCUUCUCGUGUGCCUUUUCACAUACAUGUUUGUUCCAGAAUGUUUGCCGUCGUGCAAUAUAUGUUUAACAAUUGCAUAUGAAAAUACAACUUUCAGCAACGGAUCUCUUGGCUCUCGCAUCGAUGAAGAACGCAGC
RNAcentral lists this unclassified non-coding RNA (354 nucleotides) under uncultured fungus. RNAcentral's name for it is "partial contains small subunit ribosomal RNA, internal transcribed spacer 1, and 5.8S ribosomal RNA". The stretch from base 1 to 73 matches the Rfam family "Eukaryotic small subunit ribosomal RNA", at positions 1759 to 1831 of the family's 1831-position model. Lineage: Eukaryota; Fungi. The record is from RNAcentral.